Molecule: long non-coding RNA, 362 nt
Filed under: Lathyrus oleraceus (garden pea)
Lineage: Eukaryota; Viridiplantae; Streptophyta; Magnoliopsida; Fabales; Fabaceae
Description: Pisum sativum (pea) long non-coding RNA (PSAT_LNC005803)
Source: RNAcentral
AAAUGGGAUGGACUAAUGUUACUGGACCAACUAACUUAAAUGAUGGAGGAAUAUAAAACAGAACCAUAGCCGCCUGGCUGUUGGUUUUUCAAAAGGAAUAAAUUAAUUGGUAAAGAUAACCAUAAAUACGUUACUAAAUACCCAUAAACCAAAAUUAAUGACCAACUAAGGGGAACUAAAUGGUCACUUAAAAUGGGAUUUAAUAGUCUGUUUAGGAAAGAACAAAUAGUAAAUAAAAAAAAUAAAAUAAAAGAAAAAGUGAGAAUGCAGAUGGGAUUCCCAGAACUCAAUCGUCCUCCUCCCAACUUUCGUUCUCCAAAACUCUCUAUCUCACAACUCUCUCAACCUUCGCCGUUACCAAA